Molecule: ribosomal RNA, 411 nt
Filed under: Podarcis tauricus tauricus
Lineage: Eukaryota; Metazoa; Chordata; Lepidosauria; Squamata; Lacertidae
Description: partial 16S ribosomal RNA
Rfam family: Bacterial large subunit ribosomal RNA
Source: RNAcentral
CAAAGCUGUCUCUUACGGCCUAGCCAAUGAAAUUGAUCCUCCAGUACAAAAGCUGGAAUAAACUCAUAAGACGAGAAGACCCUGUGGAGCUUUAAAACCAAGAUCAUUAAACUAUGCUCCUUGGAUUUUUAGUUGGGGCGACUUUGGAGCAAAAAAAACCCUCCAAAACAUAAAUUUAAUUAUUUAGACCAACACACCAAGAAAAUUAUAUUAGACCCAGCAGUAUUUUUUACUGUCUGACCAAUGAACCAAGUUACCCCAGGGAUAACAGCGCUAUCCUCUUCUAGAGUCCCUAUCGACAAGAGGGUUUACGACCUCGAUGUUGGAUCAGGACACCCCUAUAGUGCAGCCGCUAUAAAAGGUUCGUUUGUUCAACGAUUAAAGUCCUACGUGAUCUGAGUUCAGACCGGA